Molecule: long non-coding RNA, 2629 nt
Organism: Zalophus californianus (California sea lion)
Lineage: Eukaryota; Metazoa; Chordata; Mammalia; Carnivora; Otariidae
Exons: 3
Source: RefSeq, a predicted model, not a curated record
UGGGGAGAAGGGUGUGGUCAGCCAGCCCGGACCCAGAGGGUGGCUGAACGCUGCUUCUGGCUCAGCAGCACCUGGUGGCCUGUCCCGAGAGCUACGGGACAUCCUUCAUAAAUCCCCUUAUGUCUUGAACCACCCCAAGGGGCUUUGGUGAAGAACCCCGCACAAGAACAGCAGUGGGGGGAGGAAGAACCCCGGCUGGCCCCCCAGAGGAGGGGGCUUGACGAGGUGAGCUGGGCAUAGGCAGAGACAGGAAAGGAGCCCAGGAUGGCAAACAGGGUGCUGGGUCAAAGCUGGAAGACUUGAGGGGCCCCGGGAGGGGCGGGGCUGUUUUAAGUAGAAUCAGGAUGAGAAUAGUCAUUCACUCAUUCAUUCAUUCACUCAUUCAUUCAUUGAACAAAUAUUUUCGGGCCAAAACCACGUGGCUGAGGCCUCGGGAAUACAUCUAUGAACAAGACAGACAAGCACCCACCUUUCUGGAGCUGAUGUUCCAGCCGAAAGGGUGGGGGAACAAAACGAAUGCCAACCAAAGGAAGUCUGAGGGCUGUGGGUGGGGGGCAGGACAUGGACCCAAGAGCGGUAUAAGCCAGCCGGACUGGCCUGGGAGCGGCGUGGGGAGCAGUCCCUCGGCACCGUGGGGUCCUUGGGAGGCCCCAGAAGAGCCCCUGCACCUAAGGCCCCGUGUGUUAUGAUGGCAAAGACAAGAAAAAUGCUUAGCAUUUAUUUAGUGCCUACUAUAUGCCCUCUCUUCACUGGUUGGCAGCAACAGCCCAUUUCCACCCCCAUUUCCCCAGCCCACCAAGUUCCCGGCCACUCCCAAGUAAGAUGGCUUGGUGGGUUCAAGGGACAGCCACUGAACGUGCUCUUUGCCCCGAGAAAAAUCCUGUCUUGUGUGAGGCCCAGGAACAGAGGCACAGCCCUGGGGGCCUCCCCCUUCAGACAGCCUCCCCUUUUGGACUGCCUCCCCCUUCAGAUUGCCUCCCUCUUCUGACUGCCUUCUGAGCUCUGAGUGGUGGGAGAAGGUGGAGGUUUCAUUUACCAGGGAGGUGGGGGUGGGGAAAGAUCAGUGGGAGCCCGAGGGAGCCUGGGUGAAGUUAUACUGAAAUACGGGAGAGAUUGAGCCUGAGUCAGGGGUGGGGCAGCGGGAGAUGCGACACAGCUCAUGGGGAGACAGCCCCAGGGUCGGCAGGGCUGUAUGCUACCCUACCUUCUGGGGUUGCCCUCCAUGACACGUCCCCCUUGGGUUUCAUGGCAAGGUCGCUUAGCCCCUAAGCUGGACAUCCCAGCAGGUGACUCAGCAAUGAAUGAAUGGCAGCCCCAUGCUUGGCAGCUCAGGGCCUCAAGCAAAUACCUAACCUCUCUGAGCCUCAGCAACCUCUCCUGUAAAAUGGGGCAGCAUGUGUCUCAUAGGAUCUCUGAGAGGAAAAAACAUGUGAUAAAGCAUUUCCGAUUCUAAGAAAGAUGGCUGACACACGGCAAGUGCUCUCCACCCCAGCUCCACACUCAGCCCACGCUCCUAGUCCCACCAAACUGCCAACCUCUCUCCAAAUGCGCCCUGCCCCUUUGUGGCCUCUGCUUUGUGUUCGUCUCAGUUCUGUGGAUCUGAACCGCCCGGGCACUAGCUUUGUGUCGCCCUGCCAGGCCCCUCUUCUCCAUCGAAGGAUCUCCUCCCUGCUCACCGUCGGGACAGCCCUGGGGCCUCCGCUGUGCACACCUGUGCCGUGGAAGCAAGUUCUCCAGCUCCACGGAGGACCAGGUGAGAAUGCCGAGUCCCAGCUCUAGAAGCGGGGAGCGUCUCGAUGGCCGAGGAAGGAGGCCAAAGUCGGCCCUGGUCCUCCAGGCUCCUGCAGUCUGCCCCGCUUCUGAGCAUCGCCGAAGGGACUGUGGGGCAUGGCAGCUGGUAGCGGCUGUCCAGGAUCAGGAACCCUUCCCCCGUCACCGACCCUGACCAUCCUGUCAGGCAGCGCCAUAGUCCCUGUGUGACAGACUGCUCUUGCCUCUGCACAUCCAGCCCUGCGUUUCUGAUAAAACCCUGCCGUGAAGGGGAAAUGAAGUGGUUGCACAAUCCCACAGCCCUCCUUGGCAGCCAUGUCCUGUGAAUGGACAUGCCAACAAUGGCCACGUGUGGAUUUCCGGAAGCACCUCAAGGGGACCAGCAUGGUCCUUUUCCUGGCCCUUCCUGCUGCCCCUCCCUGCAAGGCAGACAAGUGAUGGCUGCCAUCUCCGACCACGAGACGGGGGCCACGUCGUGAGGAUGAAAGAGCCGACGGUUAACCAUGGCACCACCAAGACGCAGCCCUGGAUUGCCCAUGUUAAGCAGAAGAAGACGGCUACAUCACGGAUAAGGAACUGGAAGGAGGUCCAGGCGCUGUCCAUCCCAUCUCCCUAUAUUACAGGAUAUUGAGCCCCAGGGAAGGAAGAUGACUGGGCCAAGCCACAUGGUGUGUUCCUGGUGGCAUUUGGUGGCUGGGCUUUGAACAUCCAACAGAUAAUGUGAACAGGCAGUGUUCCAGGCAAUGUGACGAAAAGCAACAGAAUUCACAACUGUGUGGUGAUAGACAGUUAACUAGACUUACUGUGGAGAGCAUUUUGUAAUGUAUAACAAUAUCGAGUCACUAUGAUUUACACCUGA